Molecule: transfer RNA, 72 nt
Filed under: Ardenticatenia bacterium
Lineage: Bacteria; Bacillati; Chloroflexota; Ardenticatenia
Description: tRNA-Gln
Rfam family: tRNA
About the family: Transfer RNA (tRNA) molecules are approximately 80 nucleotides in length. Their secondary structure includes four short double-helical elements and three loops (D, anti-codon, and T loops).
Source: RNAcentral
UGCGGGGUCGUCUAACUGGCAGGACGGCUGACUCUGGAUCAGCAAGUCUAGGUUCGAGUCCUAGCCCCGCAG